CCUACGGGUGGCAGCAGUGGGGAAUAUUGCACAAUGGGGGAAACCCUGAUGCAGCGACGCCGCGUGAGUGAAGAAGUAAUUCGUUACGUAAAGCUCUAUCAGCAGGGAAGAAACACUUACCGUACGGUCAGCAGACGGUACCUGCGUAAGACGCCCCGGCUAACUCCGUGCCAGCAGCCGCGGUAAUACGUAGGGGGCAAGCGUUAUCCGGAUUUACUGGGUGUAAAGGGAGCGUAGACGGUGCGCCAAGUCUGGAGUGAAAUGCCGCAGCUUAACUGCGGAACUGCUUUGGAAACUGGCGAACUAGAGUGCGGGAGGGGCAAGCGGAAUUCCUAGUGUAGCGGUGAAAUGCGUAGAUAUUAGGAGGAACACCAGUGGCGAAGGCGGUUUACUGGACCGUAACUGACGUUGAGGCGCGAAAGCGUGGGGAGCAAACAGGAUUAGAUACCCGGGUAGUC
This 458-nucleotide ribosomal RNA is filed under the name uncultured bacterium. RNAcentral's name for it is "partial 16S ribosomal RNA". It matches the Rfam family "Bacterial small subunit ribosomal RNA", at positions 338 to 795 of the family's 1533-position model. The record is from RNAcentral.